This 305-nucleotide ribosomal RNA is filed under the name uncultured bacterium. RNAcentral describes it as "bacterial SSU rRNA". It matches the Rfam family "Bacterial small subunit ribosomal RNA", at positions 336 to 633 of the family's 1533-position model. The record is from RNAcentral.
CGCCUACGGGGGGCAGCAGUGGGGAAUUUUGCGCAAUGCUCGUAAGAGUGACGCAGCGACGCCGCGUGAAUGACGAAGGCCUUCGGGUCGUAAACCUCUGUCAGCAGGGAAGAACGGUCACUGUGCUAAUCAGCAGUGAAUUGACGGUACCUGCAAAGGAAGCACCGGCUAACUCCGUGCCAGCAGCCGCGGUAAUACGGAGGGUGCGAGCGUUAAUCGGAAUUACUGGGCGUAAAGCGCUCGUAGGCGGUAUGUCAAGUCAAGGGUGAAAUCCCCGCGCUCAACGUGGGAACUGCCUUUGAAAC